GCACAAGCGGUGAGCAUGUGGUUUAAUUCGAAGCAACGCGAAGAACCUUUACCAGGUCUUGACAUCCCGAUGCUAUUUCUAGAGAUAGAAAGUUACUUCGGUACAUCGGUGACAGGUGGUGCAUGGUUGUCGUCAGCUCGUGUCGUGAGAUGUUGGGUUAAGUCCCGCAACGAGCGCAACCCCUAUUGUUAGUUGCCAUCAUUCAGUUGGGCACUCUAGCGAGACUGCCGGUAAUAAACCGGAGGAAGUGGGAUGACGUCAAAUCAUCAUGCCCCUUAUGACCUGGGCUACACACGUGCUACAAUGGUUGGUACAACGAGUUGCGAGUCGGUGACGGCGAGCUAAUCUCUUAAAGCCAAUCUCAGUUCGGAUUGUAGGCUGCAACUCGCCUACAUGAAGUCGGAAUCGCUAGUAAUCGCGGAUCAGCACGCCGCGGUGAAUACGUUCCCGGGCCUU
RNAcentral lists this ribosomal RNA (456 nucleotides) under uncultured Streptococcus sp. RNAcentral's name for it is "bacterial SSU rRNA". It matches the Rfam family "Bacterial small subunit ribosomal RNA", at positions 923 to 1382 of the family's 1533-position model. The record is from RNAcentral. Lineage: Bacteria; Bacillati; Bacillota; Bacilli; Lactobacillales; Streptococcaceae.